Molecule: ribosomal RNA, 458 nt
Filed under: uncultured bacterium
Lineage: Bacteria
Description: partial 16S ribosomal RNA
Rfam family: Bacterial small subunit ribosomal RNA
Source: RNAcentral
CCUACGGGUGGCAGCAGUGGGGAAUAUUGCACAAUGGGGGAACCCCUGAUGCAGCGACGCCGCGUGAGUGAAGAAGUAUUUCGGUACGUAAAGCUCUAUCAGCAGGGAAGAAAAACCGGCCUUAGGGCCGCCAGACGGUACCUGACUAAGAAGCCCCGUCUAACUACGUCCCAGCAGCCGCGGUAAUACGUAGGGGGCAAGCGUUAUCCGGAUUUACUGGGUGUAAAGGAGGCGGAGACGGCAGCGCAAGUCUGGAGUGAAAUGCCGGGGCCCAACCCCGGAACUGCUUUGGAAACUGUGCAGCUUGAGGGCAGGAGAGGUAAGCGGAAUUCCUAGUGUAGCGGUGAAAUGCGUAGAUAUUAGGAGGAACACCAGUGGCGAAGGCAGCUUACUGGACUGUAACUGACGUUGAGGCUCGAAAGCGUGGGGAGCAAACAGGAUUAGAUACCCUAGUAGUC